GACGAACGCUGGCGGCGUGCUUAACACAUGCAAGUCGAACGGAAAGGCCCCCACUUUGGUGGGGGUGCGAGUGUGGCGAACGGGUGAGUCACAUGUGGGUGAUCUGCCCUGUACUUCGGGAUACGUUUGGGAAUGUGGGUCUAAUACCGGAUAGGACCAUGUUUUAGUGUCUCAUGGAGGAAAAAUCGUUGUUUUGGUGCCUCAUGAGCUCGCGGCCUGUCAGUUUGUUGGUGGGGUACUGGCCUGCCAAGGCGUCGCCGGGUUGCCGGCCUGAGCGGGUGGCCGCCCACAUUGGGACGGGGAUACGGUCCAGACUCCUACGGGAGGCAGCAGUGAGGAAUAGUGCACGAGGGGCGCAAGCCUGAAGCAGCGACGCCGCGUGGGGGAGGACGGCCGUCGGGUAGUAAGCUCCUUUCGUUAGGGACGAAGCCACACCGUUUUUGGGUGUGAUGACGGUACCUUUGUGAAGAAGCACCGGCUAACUACGUG
RNAcentral lists this ribosomal RNA (489 nucleotides) under uncultured bacterium. RNAcentral's name for it is "partial 16S ribosomal RNA". It matches the Rfam family "Bacterial small subunit ribosomal RNA", at positions 28 to 507 of the family's 1533-position model. The record is from RNAcentral.